AGAGUGAACGCUGGCGGUAGGCCUAACACAUGCAAGUCGAACGGCAGCACAGGAGAGCUUGCUCUCUGGGUGGCGAGUGGCGGACGGGUGAGGAAUACAUCGGAAUCUACCUUUUCGUGGGGGAUAACGUAGGGAAACUUACGCUAAUACCGCAUAAGACCUUCGGGUGAAAGCCGGGGACCUUCGGGCCUGGCGCGGAUAGAUGAGCCGACGUCGGAUUAGCUUGUUGGCGGGGUAAAAGCCCACCAAGGCGACGAUCCGUAGCUGGUCUGAGAGGAUGAUCAGCCACACUGGAACUGAGACACGGUCCAGACUCCUACGGGAGCAGCAGUGGGAAUAUUGGACAAUGGGCGCAAGCCUGAUCCAGCCAUACCGCGUGGGUGAAGAAGGCCUUGGGUUGUAAAGCCCUUUUAGUGGAAAGAAUCCUGCCGGUUAAUAACCGAGUAGGAUGACGGUACCAAAGAAUAAGCACGGACUAACGUUCGUACACGACGACGACCGCCGGAGUACUGAGACGGCGUA
Molecule: ribosomal RNA, 522 nt
Filed under: uncultured soil bacterium
Lineage: Bacteria
Description: bacterial SSU rRNA
Rfam family: Bacterial small subunit ribosomal RNA
Source: RNAcentral